AGUGGCGGACGGGUGAGUAACGCGUGGGUAUCCUGCCCAUAAGUGGGGGACAACAGUUGGAAACGACUGCUAAUACCGCAUAUGGUGAGCAAUCAUUAAAGGAGCCUCUUAACAAUGCUUCCGCUUAUGGAUGAGCCCGCGUCUGAUUAGCUAGUUGGUGGGGUAACGGCCUACCAAGGCGACGAUCAGUAGCCGGCCUGAGAGGGUGAACGGCCACACUGGGACUGAGACACGGCCCAGACUCCUACGGGAGGCAGCAGUGGGGAAUAUUGCGCAAUGGGGGAAACCCAGACGCAGCGACGCCGCAUGAGCGAUGAAGGCCUUAGGGUUGUAAAGCUCUGUUUUAGGGGACGAAUGUUACAGGUAGUAAUAUGACCUGUAAAUGACGGUACCCUAAGAGGAAGCCCCGGCUAACUACGUGCCAGCAGCCGCGGUAAGACGUAGGGGGCGAGCGUUGUCCGGAAUUACUGGGCGUAAAGAGCACGUAGGCGGAGACUUAAGUCAGGUGUGAAAGACCGGGGCUCAACCCCGGGGUGGCACUUGAAACUGGGUCCCUUGAGGGCAGGAGAGAAAAGUAGAAUUCCUGGUGUAGCGGUGAAAUGCGUAGAAAUCAGGAGGAAUACCAGUGGCGAAGGCGACUUUCUGGACUGACCCUGACGCUGAGGUGCGAAAGCGUGGGUAGCAAACAGGAUUAGAUACCCUGGUAGUCCACGCCGUAAACGAUGGAUACUAGGUGUGGGAGGUAUCGACUCCUUCCGUGCCGCAGCUAACGCAAUAA
Molecule: ribosomal RNA, 778 nt
Filed under: uncultured bacterium
Lineage: Bacteria
Description: bacterial SSU rRNA
Rfam family: Bacterial small subunit ribosomal RNA
Source: RNAcentral